This 463-nucleotide ribosomal RNA is filed under the name Streptococcus gordonii. RNAcentral's name for it is "bacterial SSU rRNA". It matches the Rfam family "Bacterial small subunit ribosomal RNA", at positions 28 to 468 of the family's 1533-position model. Lineage: Bacteria; Bacillati; Bacillota; Bacilli; Lactobacillales; Streptococcaceae. The record is from RNAcentral.
GACGAACGCUGGCGGCGUGCCUAAUACAUGCAAGUAGAACGCACAGUUUAUACCGUAGCUUGCUACACCAUAGACUGUGAGUUGCGAACGGGUGAGUAACGCGUAGGUAACCUGCCUGGUAGCGAGGGAUAACUAUUGGAAACGAUAGCUAAUACCGCAUAAUAUUAAUUAUUGCAUGAUAAUUAAUUGAAAGGUGCAAUUGCACCACUACCAGAUGGACCUGCGUUGUAUUAGCUAGUAGGUGAGGUAACGGCUCACCUAGGCGACGAUACAUAGCCGACCUGAGAGGGUGAUCGGCCACACUGGGACUGAGACACGGCCCAGACUCUACGGGAGGCAGCAGUAGGGAAUCUUCGGCAAUGGACGAAAGUCUGACCGAGCAACGCCGCGUGAGUGAAGAAGGUUUUCGGAUCGUAAAGCUCUGUUGUAAGAGAAGAACGGGUGUGAGAGUGGAAAGUUCACA